GUUUUGUGUUUCUGUUUUCC
Molecule: microRNA, 20 nt
Filed under: Macrophomina phaseolina MS6
Lineage: Eukaryota; Fungi; Ascomycota; Dothideomycetes; Botryosphaeriales; Botryosphaeriaceae
Description: miR-2390
Source: RNAcentral